Long non-coding RNA from Lolium rigidum, 812 nucleotides. RefSeq lists it as uncharacterized. The record is from RefSeq and is a predicted model, not a curated record. Lineage: Eukaryota; Viridiplantae; Streptophyta; Magnoliopsida; Poales; Poaceae. The transcript has 3 exons.
GCAGCGCAGGUUCCCAUGGUGGCUGACCGCUCUCCUCUCCAUUCUACCCCACAAUUCAUCUUCCAAGUACAGAGACAUGGAGGCUGAGCCGUCUGCUCGAUACUAUUGUGUUUAGCAGAGAUUAUCCAAUGCAGUUUGUUGUUGCCUCGUGCCUAGGUGAAAAAGUAAGGUCCAGGUAGAUGUUUUCUCUCCCGUGUAAAGCAAAUGAAAUGUUUCCUUCUCUAAAGGAAUCGGGACUGCUGUUCCUUUGUUCCGAGUGCUCUCAAAGGGAAAUUUUCCAGGGAAAUUGAAACUUGCAAAAUUCCUAUACGUUUCCUCCGUUCCGAACGGAGCCUUAGUUAUAAUGAUGGAGGGCGAUGUGGCGAUGCUAAAUUGUUCAUGCCAUUUUAUCAUUGGAGUAUCAUGUAGUAGCAUACGUGAACAUUCUCAUUUGAAUGUAAGUAGUCCGCCGAUCAUCUUUUCUCCGUAUGAUCUAAUAGAAAUGUACUGAUCGUUUCAGUGGCGCAGACAGUGAACCACUUCAAGAAGAGGAUUACUUUUUGUCAAUGACUCCAUCAUUCUCUCAUCUGGGUCACACCUCGAGAGUUCUUUGCUUGGUGGUGCCGGAGUCAAUGGAGAAGGAGGCUGGUUUGGGGACGCGAUGAGCAGCAAGGUGAAGCUGGGAUGGCUGAGGCUCAGGGGACUCCAAUGAUGCGGCUGAGAGGAGGUGAGUGCUGGGGUCGCGGACACCGUCAUGAACCGUGAGGGCCUGGUGAACAUCCACAUACCGGCGUACCUGAACGCUAUAUGCAGGUGUCUCCACCAUCAGUCAA